GGGGUGUAGCUCAGUUGGUAGAGCGUCUGAAUCGCAAUCAGAAGGUCGACGGUUCGACUCCGUUCAUCUCC
This 71-nucleotide transfer RNA is filed under the name pig gut metagenome. It matches the Rfam family "tRNA". From Rfam's summary of the family: Transfer RNA (tRNA) molecules are approximately 80 nucleotides in length. Their secondary structure includes four short double-helical elements and three loops (D, anti-codon, and T loops). Further hydrogen bonds mediate the characteristic L-shaped molecular structure. tRNAs have two regions of fundamental functional importance: the anti-codon, which is responsible for specific mRNA codon recognition, and the 3' end, to which the tRNAs corresponding amino acid is attached (by aminoacyl-tRNA synthetases). tRNAs cope with the degeneracy of the genetic code in two manners: having more than one tRNA (with a specific anti-codon) for a particular amino acid; and 'wobble' base-pairing, i.e. permitting non-standard base-pairing at the 3rd anti-codon position. The record is from RNAcentral.